CACACAGGGGCCAUUGUGACAUAUAUCCAGGCCAAUUGCCUAGGUGAAGUUUGUCUCCUUUCCUGCCUAAGCCCUGCCCACGGGGAAGAUUUAGAUAUAUCACUAAAACCAGCACCCAAGUGAUGUGACUCUUCACCAGAGUCCUGCCCACAAGGAGGAUUGUGACAUUUCACUGGACCAGCACCCACUCAGGAAUCAAAUCCGAGUUCGUCUACAGCUGAUUCGGCAGGUACCAGGGCGUCCGCGAUGGUGAGUGAUAGCACCGCGAUGGUGGUAUUGCUCCAUAUGCCUGAGACCCUAACAAAAGCCUAAUUACAACUCAUAUGCCUGGAGCCAGGACAUGUGCAGGAUGGUGAUGUAACUUUCCUCUCUGGAAUGGGUCCUGCACAAAGGAAUGAUAGUAACAUAUUGCAAAGCCAGACACACAGCCAUGAUGGUCCAAGUUAUAUUGGGAUUCAGCCAAUAGAAGAUAUUUUGCCUGUCAUCCCUAAGCUUAGGACAAUAGACUCUGCCAAGAGAGGGGAUUAUUACAUAUUGCAGAGCCCAGCACCUAGGUGGAGUGACUCUCAUCUUUUUCUUCUACCCCGUAUAUAGCCAGCUUGGUGACCUACUAUUUGAGUCUAUACCCAGGCCCAGACCACAGAUGAAAUUGUGCAAUAUGUGGAACAAACACCUAAACAAUAUAUAACACCUUCCUUGGCUCUGUCUACAAAGGGCACUUUUAUAUAUCACUGGGACCAUCAACCAGGUGAUAUAACCCUCUUCUCUGGAAUGGGCCCCACACAAAGGAAGGAUAGUGACAUAUUGCAAGCCCAGGCACACAGGCCCAGAGCACAGUUGAAAUUGUGACAUAUGUACACCAAGCAACCAAGCAAUGUAUAACACCUCAUUUGGCAAUGGAAUCGAGGGCACUUUUACAUAUCACUGAGACCAGCGCCCAGCUGAUGUGAAAUAUUGGCCUGAACCCUGCCUACAAAAGCAUUGUGGCUUUUAUCUAGCUCCAUUACAUAAGUGAUGUGACUUCCUUCUACUGCCUUGGCCCUGCACUUAUGGUGAAUCGUGACACAAAAUUGGGUAGAGCAACCAGCCUGGGCCCUGACCAGCACAGAGAUUGAGGCAUAUUGCUGAACCCAGGACCAAGAUGAAGUCACUCUCCUGCCUUGAUCCUGCACACAGGGACCCUUGUGACAUAUAUACAGGCCAAUUGCCUAGGUGAUGUUGUGCAAUAUACCUGAGACCAGAUCAAUGGCCUAAUAAUGACUCUUUUACCUAGAGCCAGGACAUGUGCAGGAUGGUAACUCUCAUCCCUGAACCUUUCCACAGGUGUUAUUGUCACAUAUACCUUUUCCAGCUCCAAAGUGAUUUAAUAAUCCAGCCUAGUUAUAGCCCACAGAUAAUAUUUGGACAUAUACCUGAGUCAAGAACCUUGGUGAUUUGACUCUCAUGUCUUAACAGUGUCCUCAGAAGGGAUCAUAACAUAUCUCUGGACCCAUCAUCUAGGUUAUGUGACUCUCUUCUCCUGCCUGAACCCUGCUUCCAGUGAAGAGUGUUGCAUUUCUAAGCACUGCAUCCAAAUGACAUGAGUUUCUUGCCUGGGCCGUUUCAACAGAAGGCAUUGUGACAUAUCUCUAGGUCUAUCAUUUAGGUGAUAUGACUCUCCUCUCCUGCCUGGACACUCUCCACAAGGGGCAUUAUGCCAUAGAGCUAGAGCUAGCAACCAAGUUUUGUGAAUUUUCUGUUAGGGCCUUGCCUACAAAGAGAAUUUUGGAAUAUUUCUGGCUUAGAAUUUAAGUAAUGUGGUUGUUCUGCCUGUUCAGUAACCACAGAGGAGAAGGUGAAAUAUAUCUAGGCACCGCAAACAGGCAUGAUAAUGAGUCUUGUAUGUGGACCCAGCAAAUAGGAGAAAUUUUGACUCUUAUAACUAGGUUUAGGAACAUGAGUGAUGUCCAGGAUCUCCUUCUGGUAAGAAGGUCACAGAAGAUUGCAACACUCACAAUUAUUUUGUAACACCUUUGGGUUGUAUAGGGAGUGUCGUAACAGGGCCAAACACACAGAGGAAAUUGUGACAGUCAUAUGCACACCUACCUGACAGUAAAGACUUUCACAAUCACAAAUGGAUGAAGGCAACUGUCCUACAUGAAAACAGGACAUGUGUGGUAUUGUACAUCUAAAACCUAGAAUUUUAUUCCAUUGUGACUGUGAUAUAAAUCAAUGCCAAGCACCUGCGUGAUUU
This is a long non-coding RNA of Homo sapiens (human), 2233 nucleotides long. Ensembl annotates it as long intergenic non-protein coding RNA 293. The record is from Ensembl. Lineage: Eukaryota; Metazoa; Chordata; Mammalia; Primates; Hominidae.